Molecule: long non-coding RNA, 306 nt
Filed under: Musa acuminata (dwarf banana)
Lineage: Eukaryota; Viridiplantae; Streptophyta; Magnoliopsida; Zingiberales; Musaceae
Description: long non-coding RNA (MACU_LNC004604)
Source: RNAcentral
GGAGGAACCCCUAUAGAGUUCCAAGGAGGCUGAUCCCCUAAAGAGAUCAACCCCAAGUUUAGAAUCUACAAGGGUUCUAACACCUGGUAUCAGAGCAGCGUUCUUGGCAUCUUGCUGCCCUUCCACUGCCAUCCAUCAACCCUCCACAACUGUCCAAAGCAAUUCCCACAAUUGCUUAAAAGAUCGUCGCCAAAUUCCGCCAUCAUCUCCACCACCGCGGAUCAUCCCGUGAAUUGCAACAGGUUCUGGUUUCCUACCUUACUGCUACUGCAAUUUAGUUAUCCCUAUCCGAAAAUCCAAAAAAAA